This 469-nucleotide ribosomal RNA is filed under the name Lysinibacillus macroides. RNAcentral's name for it is "bacterial SSU rRNA". It matches the Rfam family "Bacterial small subunit ribosomal RNA", at positions 19 to 482 of the family's 1533-position model. The record is from RNAcentral. Lineage: Bacteria; Bacillati; Bacillota; Bacilli; Caryophanales; Bacillaceae.
UUGGUUCAGGACGAACGCUGGCGGCGUGCCUAAUACAUGCAAGUCGAGCGAAUCGAUGGGAGCUUGCUCCCUGAGAUUAGCGGCGGACGGGUGAGUAACACGUGGGCAACCUGCCUAUAAGACUGGGAUAACUUCGGGAAACCGGAGCUAAUACCGGAUACGUUCUUUUCUCGCAUGAGAGAAGAUGGAAAGACGGUUUACGCUGUCACUUAUAGAUGGGCCCGCGGCGCAUUAGCUAGUUGGUGAGGUAAUGGCUCACCAAGGCGACGAUGCGUAGCCGACCUGAGAGGGUGAUCGGCCACACUGGGACUGAGACACGGCCCAGACUCCUACGGGAGGCAGCAGUAGGGAAUCUUCCGCAAUGGACGAAAGUCUGACGGAGCAACGCCGCGUGAACGAAGAAGGCCUUCGGGUCGUAAAGUUCUGUUGUUAGGGAAGAACAAGUACCAGAGUAACUGCUGGUACCUUG